UACAGAGGUGGCAAGCGUUGUUCGGAAUUACUGGGCGUAAAGGGCGCGUAGGCGGUCUUCUAAGUCUUGUGUGAAAUCCCUCGGCUCAACUGAGGAACUGCACGGGAUACUGGAAGACUUGAGUUCGGGAGAGGGAAGCGGAAUUCCGGGUGUAGCGGUGAAAUGCGUAGAUAUCCGGAGGAACACCAAUGGCGAAGGCAGCUCUCUGGGACGGUACUGACGCUGAGACGCGAAAGCGUGGGGAGCGAACAGG
RNAcentral lists this ribosomal RNA (253 nucleotides) under uncultured bacterium. Its description in RNAcentral is "partial 16S ribosomal RNA". It matches the Rfam family "Bacterial small subunit ribosomal RNA", at positions 524 to 776 of the family's 1533-position model. The record is from RNAcentral.